AGUAGAAUUGCUAGGUCAUAUGGUAUUUCCAAGUUUAGCUUUUUGAGGAACUACCAAACUGUUUUCCACAGUAGCUAUAUUAUUUUAAAUUUCUACCAGCAAU
Molecule: microRNA precursor, 103 nt
Filed under: Marmota monax (woodchuck)
Lineage: Eukaryota; Metazoa; Chordata; Mammalia; Rodentia; Sciuridae
Source: RNAcentral